UGGGGAAUUUUGGACAAUGGGCGAAAGCCUGAUCCAGCAAUGCCGCAUGUGUGAAGAAGGCCUUCGGGUUGUAAAGCACUUUUGUCCGGAAAGAAAUCCUUGGCUCUAAUACAGUCGGGGGAUGACGGUACCGGAAGAAUAAGCACCGGCUAACUACGUGCCAGCAGCCGCGGUAAUACGUAGGGUGCAAGCGUUAAUCGGAAUUACUGGGCGUAAAGCGUGCGCAGGCGGUUUGCUAAGACCGAUGUGAAAUCCCCGGGCUCAACCUGGGAACUGCAUUGGUGACUGGCAGGCUAGAGUAUGGCAGAGGGGGGUAGAAUUCCACGUGUAGCAGUGAAAUGCGUAGAGAUGUGGAGGAAUACCGAUGGCGAAGGCAGCCCCCUGGGCCAAUACUGACGCUCAUGCACGAAAGCGUGGGGAGCAAAACAGGAUUAGAUACCCUGGUAGUCCACGCCCUAAAACGAUGUCAACUAGUUGUUGGGGAUUCAUUUCCUUAGUAACGUAGCUAACGCGUGAAGUUGACCGCCUGGGGAGUACGGUCGCAAGAUUAAAACUCAAAGGAAUUGACGGGGUCAUAGCUGUUUCCU
Molecule: ribosomal RNA, 587 nt
Filed under: uncultured bacterium
Lineage: Bacteria
Description: partial 16S ribosomal RNA
Rfam family: Bacterial small subunit ribosomal RNA
Source: RNAcentral